GCUCGGAUGGGAUGGCUGUGUUCCCAGGGAAAUAAGCCUAUCUGCAUUAGCCAGCACUCGGAUCCAGGAGGCAUUGUAAAAGGAUCAGCAUCAACCUAUGAGAGUUUCAGCAGAGGGAGGUCUGCGUGCCUGAGCCCUGCCUCCACCUGCUCCAGAUCAACCCGCCCACCCUCUAGCUCUACAGACCUCCCUCGCCAGGCCUUGCCUGACCCAUUUGGAGUCUGCAACAACCUGCUAGGCACCGUAUCUCUUUUUCCAGCCUUCAGCUGCUCCUGUAGCUGUGGUCCCAGAGUCUACUGCCAGUGUCCAGGCCCGGGUUCCCUACCCCAUGUCCACCCUACUGAGUGGGUCUCACAGUCCUUGGGCCUGUCACCAUGGCAGGCUCAUCAUGAAGGGUAUGGACACUUCCAUAUCUCCUCUUCAAGGCAAAUUACAGCAAAACAGGCUUUAGGCAGGCUGCCAGGGCUGCAUAUUUUGCACUCUUCACACAGGGUUUAUUGCUGAUCAAAGCCAGUUGUCAGUACAACAGCCUUCACAAGAUCGAAAUGUCAUUUGGGAAAGGAAGUGUGUGUUUUUAACUCAAACCAAAGGCUGACAGAGAUGGCCUCUCAGGGUCGGACACAGCUGUUUCACUAGGGCUUAGCCCUUUACAAUGCCUGCAGAAGUCAGGGGGCCUGGAGUUCUUCAUUCACUAAUGCUGUAUCAGUGUUGAAGCCUGGAGGAGAACAACUCUGGUCUCCCCAGGCCGCAGUUUCUGACAGAAACUACAAGUGGUGCGGAGAGACAACACAUGGCUGCACCUCAGCACUGCUGGUGCAGCGUGAAGGCUGAGCUACCAGUGUGUUACACAGGACCCAUGCUCGUGCUUGGUGUGAUUUGGCACCAGGACUCUGACAGAUCCUCACUGCCUGGUCCAGCUACAGCCUGGGUUUGGCUUGCUCAGGUUGCACAUCCCAGUUCCCAAAGAGCAGAGAGGCUGCUCAGAAAGGGACAGUGGCCAAAGUGUAAGAACACCUAAUAGUCUCAAAAAUGGUUGUGUUUCAAAUCUGCCUGAUGUUCCCACUGUCGGUUAUAUAAACAUAGCAGCGUUGUUAUUGUAGGGCAGGCUAUUUUAAGACAGACAGACUAACAGAGUUGGAUUUCAACGUUCAGAUUCUUAUUUUUCCCAUUGCAUAUGUUAGCUCUUGUUUUUUGUAAAAAUGGCUUGACUAGAACUAAUGUCUCGCACAUAUUCCUUAGGGAGGGAUGCCAAGAUGAACUGUGAAAGACACUUGUUAUUUCACGCUCUUCUCCUGUUACUUUGGGUGAAUUUGGUCAUGCCAGUCGGGCUCAGAUUCUUCCAAAACAAAUUAACCAGAUGAAAUCUGUGGUGUCCUCCACCUUUUAAGAAGCAAGCUGCAGAGAUGUCAAACUGGGCGAAUAAAGCUAGUGAUCACACGUUUAAGGUUUGUCUC
RNAcentral lists this long non-coding RNA (1454 nucleotides) under Anser cygnoides (Swan goose). Its description in RNAcentral is "lncRNA (ENSACDG00005011269.1)". The record is from RNAcentral. Lineage: Eukaryota; Metazoa; Chordata; Aves; Anseriformes; Anatidae.